UAAUUUAUUUUUUAUUAUUUUUUUUUGUUUAUUAUUUUUUAUUUAAAUUAUUAUAUUUAUUAGUAUAUUUAUAGAAUUUUUAUUUUUUAUUAUAGCUUAUUUUACUGUAAAGGUUUAAUAUUAUUUUUAUUAUAAGUUUAAUUUUUUUUAGUACCUUUUGUAUCAGGGUUUAUUAAUUAAUUAUUAUUUAUUAUAAUAUUUCCCGAAAUUAAAAGGGAUAAUCAUAAAUGGGGUUUUAUGUUUUAUAAUGAUUUUUAAUUUAUGAUUAGGGAUUAUAUUUUAUUCAAUUUUAAAUAUCUGGUUUUUUAAUAAAUGAAUUUAAUUCAUAAUUAAUUAGGUUAAUUUUUAUUUUUAUUAUAUUUAACCCCUUAAUUUAAUAGUAAGGGGGAUAAGCUCUUUAUUUUUCUAUAUUUAUUAUUAAUUAUUUUUUUGUAGGUUUAGUAACAUCCAUCUUUAAUUUCGUUAUAGUUUAUAUUUAUUAUUUAUUUAUUUAUUUUUUUUUAGAUUUUUAUUAAAAUUUAUAUUUUAAUUUUUUUUUAUUGUAAUAAUGAUAAAAUUAGUAGUUUUGUAAAUUAUUUUAUAGUAAUUCGGCAAUUUUGGUGUUCGCCUGUUUAACAAAAACAUGUCCUAUUGAUUUAUAAUUUUAGGUCUAUCCUGCUCAAUGAUUUAUAUUAAAUAGCUGCAGUAUUUUAACUGUACAAAGGUAGCAUAAUCAUUUGUUCUUUAAUUGAGGGCUUGUAUGAAUGGUUGGACGAAAUAUCUACUUUCUUUAUUAUAAUUUAUGAAUUUAAUUUUUUGGUUAAAAUUCCAAGAUUAUGUUGAGGGACGAGAAGACCCUGUAGAAUUUUAUUAUUAAUUUAUAUAAUAGGUUUUAAUUUUAUUUUUUAUUAUAUAUAUAAUAAUUUGGUUGGGGUGAUUAUGAAAUUUUUUUAACUUUUAUUUUAUAUUUUUCAAUAAUUUUUGUUUUAGUGAUCCUUUAUUAUGGAUUAUAAGAUUAAAUUACCUUAGGGAUAACAGCGUAAUUUUUUUGGAGAGUUCUUAUCGAUAAAUGAGUUUGCGACCUCGAUGUUGGAUUAAAAUAAUUCUUAGGUGUAGGUGCUUAAGUUAUAGGUCUGUUCGACCUUUAUAUUUUUACAUGAUCUGAGUUCAGACCGGCGUGAGCCAGGUUGGUUUCUAUCUUCAAUUUUUAUUUAAUAUUUUAGUACGAAAGGACCAUUUAUUAAUAAAAUUUAUUUUUUAUUGAUUAUUAUU
This 1251-nucleotide ribosomal RNA is filed under the name Panaorus albomaculatus. RNAcentral describes it as "16S ribosomal RNA". The stretch from base 1010 to 1168 matches the Rfam family "Archaeal large subunit ribosomal RNA", at positions 2542 to 2701 of the family's 2987-position model. The record is from RNAcentral. Lineage: Eukaryota; Metazoa; Arthropoda; Insecta; Hemiptera; Rhyparochromidae.